GGCGGGAGCGAGAGAGGGGGAAAGUUGGUAAUGAAGGAUACACGAAUCAUAAAAUGUAAGCUAUGUGUGAUUAAUGAUCUGCACUAAUUUGAAUAGCAGGCGUGUUAAAGGUCAGUGACAAUUGUUGCUGCUUUCAGCAUGAAUGCCCGAGUGGGAUGGAUUCGGGACGGGCAAAUUUCGUUCUAAGUCAGAGAAAAAAAUGCCGGGACGUGCGGGCAGGGAGGGCACGCUUGGAAAAAUGCACAGUGCCUUAACGCCCCGAUGGUGUCCAGAACGUCUGCCUUCUGAUCUCCACACAGCAGCAUCUCAAUGCUCAGUUUGCUCAGGGCCGUGAUUUAGCGGAGGGUUGUUAGAGUAGGAUGGUCAGGUUGCGGUUGGACUCGAUGAUCUUUAAGGUCUUUUCCAACCUGAGCAAUUCUAUGAGUCUAUGAUUCUAUGAAACGCAAAGAGCAUGUGUAGAUUCCACAGACUAGAAGGCAUGGGUGGCUCAUGCACAUCUGAAUAUCAAUGCACAGAACUAUUUCCAGUGAUGAUUCCUAAUGAGAAAGUUACACUUCUGACUCCAGUUAGAAUGGGCUCUCCUACCACCCAUGUGCUUUCAGUGUUUAUGUGGGUGGUACGAAUUUCCUCUGAAACAAAAUGGUUUCAAUCAAUAAUAUGCAUAUACUCUUUGAUAAAACGCAUUGGUUUCUCACAUACGCUCCAGAAAUCUGUCUCUCUGCUUUAACUGUGCCCUGGUGUGAGGCCGGUCCUGUGGGAAUGCACCGUGCUGCAGCAAAGGUUUGCACGCUGAUGUGCUCUGGGUCUGUGUGCCAUAAAGGCAAGCUCCUGUGCCCCACUCGUUUAGUCAUGCAUUAACUCAGCAAACAGACUGAACAACAGUUUUCCACUGGAAGAGCUGCACAUAUUUCUGGAUCUGAAGAGUCUAUUGGCACGUCAGCACAAGAAGAGACUUGGGCAUUUCUGAUGACAAGUGGUAUGGGGCAUGAGGACAUAGUCACAUGAGCUUUUACUCAUCAUACUAGUUGUCCCACUGCUAUUCAUGGAAUUACUUUAAUGAUAAAAGAUGACCUAGGUUUAUCCCCACCAUCUUAUUUACAGCGCACGACAAACUUUUCCUUAUGGCAGAAACAAUCUGGAGAACCUUCUUGAAGAAUCAACAUCUCAAGCUCUGAUGCCUUUCAUAUUUGCCCCUACCAUCAGCUCAGUUGCUAGGAUAUAGACUGAUUCUGAUUUCUGUGCUUUGAUCCUCUCAGAGCCACACUUCCUUACAUCAAGUUAUUCAACACUGCUGUUACAAUGACAUUGAGGAGCAGAGCAGAAGAAGAAGUUAAUGCUUCAGCAUGCGUACAGCCCCGGUGAAUGCAGUUA
This 1371-nucleotide long non-coding RNA is filed under the name Gallus gallus (chicken). RNAcentral describes it as "lncRNA (ENSGALG00010008885.1)". The record is from RNAcentral. Lineage: Eukaryota; Metazoa; Chordata; Aves; Galliformes; Phasianidae.